This 183-nucleotide long non-coding RNA is filed under the name Dermacentor andersoni. Its description in RNAcentral is "uncharacterized LOC126538525". The record is from RNAcentral. Lineage: Eukaryota; Metazoa; Arthropoda; Arachnida; Ixodida; Ixodidae.
CCUGCCUUUCUUUUGUGUCUCUAUCUUUCUCUCCACGCCCAUUAUCCUUACGUUUCUUUUUCGUCAGUCGCACUUUAAACGAAGGAACUUUGUAAAGGUAACAGCGUGGGGUUGGACUUGUUAAUUUUUUUCGUUAGGUCUAAUAAAUGUUAUCAAAAUAUGUAAGCACGAUAUAGACCUAGC